This is a long non-coding RNA of Dendroctonus ponderosae (mountain pine beetle), 313 nucleotides long. RefSeq lists it as uncharacterized. The transcript has 2 exons. NCBI's taxonomy places the organism in Eukaryota, Metazoa, Arthropoda, Insecta, Coleoptera, Curculionidae. The record is from RefSeq and is a predicted model, not a curated record.
AGUUAUUCAUACAUAUAAGUAGGAAACUUGUGAAGUGAUGUGAUAAUUCGAACUAAAAGGGCCAUUUUCCCGUAGGACUUAAUUCGUGUUAACGGGGAAAACUUACUGAGCAGAUGAAUAUCAGCUCCAGACAGAAGUUGAUAAAAAAUAUGGAAAUUUCUAUCGUGCGAGCCCAAGCUUAUAAUCCUUGCCUGCAAUGCAAAUGUGUUUAAUAAUCCAGAAGAUUAACAUUUUAGACUGUCAAAAUUUCAACGAACGAUGCAACGGAUAACUUUUUUUUAAGUCAAAUAACGGAAUAAAGCUCUAAAGCGCU